RNAcentral lists this transfer RNA (68 nucleotides) under Marmota monax (woodchuck). RNAcentral's name for it is "tRNA.Ala". The record is from RNAcentral. Lineage: Eukaryota; Metazoa; Chordata; Mammalia; Rodentia; Sciuridae.
GGUUUGUGGCUCAGCGGUAGAGCGCUUGCCUAGCACGUGCAAGGCCCUGGGUUCAAUCCUCAGCACCA